This 93-nucleotide non-coding RNA is filed under the name Paraburkholderia tropica. Its description in RNAcentral is "Fluoride sequence". It matches the Rfam family "Fluoride riboswitch aptamer (crcB RNA motif)". The record is from Rfam by way of RNAcentral. Lineage: Bacteria; Pseudomonadati; Pseudomonadota; Betaproteobacteria; Burkholderiales; Burkholderiaceae.
UCGUGCGCAGGAGAUGGCAUUCCUCCUGCAUUUUCCCCAACCGCCGGACCGGCAGCGCUGCUUCCUGCUCCGGCUGAUGAUGCCUGCGAGUCC